Molecule: ribosomal RNA, 394 nt
Filed under: Bacillus cereus
Lineage: Bacteria; Bacillati; Bacillota; Bacilli; Caryophanales; Bacillaceae
Description: partial 23S ribosomal RNA
Rfam family: Bacterial large subunit ribosomal RNA
Source: RNAcentral
CUCAUCGCAUCCUGGGGCUGUAGUCGGUCCCAAGGGUUGGGCUGUUCGCCCAUUAAAGCGGUACGCGAGCUGGGUUCAGAACGUCGUGAGACAGUUCGGUCCCUAUCCGUCGUGGGCGUAGGAAAUUUGAGAGGAGCUGUCCUUAGUACGAGAGGACCGGGAUGGACGCACCGCUGGUGUACCAGUUGUUCUGCCAAGGGCAUAGCUGGGUAGCUAUGUGCGGAAGGGAUAAGUGCUGAAAGCAUCUAAGCAUGAAGCCCCCCUCAAGAUGAGAUUUCCCAUAGCGUAAGCUAGUAAGAUCCCUGAAAGAUGAUCAGGUUGAUAGGUUCGAGGUGGAAGCAUGGUGACAUGUGGAGCUGACGAAUACUAAUAGAUCGAGGACUUAACCAUAUAA